AUUGCCUUAGGCGGCAUGCUUUAACAUGCAAGUCGGACGGCAGCACAUAUAAGCUUGCUUCUUGGGUGGCGAGUGGCGAACGGGUGAGUAAUAUAUCGGAACGUACCGAGUAAUGGGGGAUAACUAAUCGAAAGAUUAGCUAAUACCGCAUAUUCUCUGAGGAGGAAAGCAGGGGACCUUCGGGCCUUGCGUUAUUCGAGCGGCCGAUAUCUGAUUAGCUAGUUGGUGGGGUAAAGGCCUACCAAGGCGACGAUCAGUAGCGGGUCUGAGAGGAUGAUCCGCCACACUGGGACUGAGACACGGCCCAGACUCCUACGGGAGGCAGCAGUGGGGAAUUUUGGACAAUGGGCGCAAGCCUGAUCCAGCCAUGCCGCGUGUCUGAGGAAGGCCUUCGGGUUGUAAAGGACUUUUGUCAGGGAAGAAAAGGCUGUUGCUAAUAUCGACAGCUGAUGACGGUACCUGAAGAAUAAGCACCGGCUAACUACGUGCCAGCAGCCGCGGUAAUACGUAGGGUGCGAGCGUUAAUCGGAAUUACUGGGCGUAAAGCGAGCGCAGACGGUUACUUAAGCAGGAUGUGAAAUCCCCGGGCUCAACUGGGGAAAUGGGUUUUAAACCGGUGGACUGGAGGUUUUCGGAGGGAGGUAGAAUUCCACGGGUAGCAGUUAAAUGCGUAGAGAUGUGGGGGAAUACCGAUGGCGAAGGCAGCCUCCCUGGGAUAACAAUGACGUUCAUGCUCGAAAGCGUGGGUAGCAAACAGGAUUAGAUACCCUGGUAGUCCACGCCCUAAACGAUGUCAAUUAGCUGUUGGGCAACUGAUUUGCUUAGUAGCGUAGCUAACGCGUGAAAUUGACCGCCUGGGGAGUACGGUCGCAAGAUUAAAACUCAAAGGAAUUGACGGGGACCCGCACAAGCGGUGGAUGAUGUGGAUUAAUUCGAUGCAACGCGAAGAACCUUACCUGGUCUUGACAUGUACGGAAUCCUCCAGAGACGGAGGAGUGCCUUCGGGAGCCGUAACACAGGUGCUGCAUGGCUGUCGUCAGCUCGUGUCGUGAGAUGUUGGGUUAAGUCCCGCAACGAGCGCAACCCUUGUCAUUAGUUGCCAUCAUUAAGUUGGGCACUCUAAUGAGACUGCCGGUGACAAGCCGGAGGAAGGUGGGGAUGACGUCAAGUCCUCAUGGCCCUUAUGACCAGGGCUUCACACGUCAUACAAUGGUCGGUACAGAGGGUAGCCAAGCCGCGAGGCGGAGCCAAUCUCACAAAACCGAUCGUAGUCCGGAUUGCACUCUGCAACUCGAGUGCAUGAAGUCGGAAUCGCUAGUAAAGGCAGGUCAGCAUACUGCGGUGAAUACGUUCCCGGGUCU
RNAcentral lists this ribosomal RNA (1361 nucleotides) under uncultured bacterium. RNAcentral describes it as "bacterial SSU rRNA". It matches the Rfam family "Bacterial small subunit ribosomal RNA", at positions 32 to 1381 of the family's 1533-position model. The record is from RNAcentral.